AGGCGCGUAGCUCAGUGGGAGAGCACUACCUUGACACGGUAGGGGUCGACAGUUCAAUCCUGUCCGCGCCUACCA
RNAcentral lists this transfer RNA (75 nucleotides) under Desulfuromonas sp. RNAcentral describes it as "tRNA-Val". It matches the Rfam family "tRNA". Rfam says of the family: Transfer RNA (tRNA) molecules are approximately 80 nucleotides in length. Their secondary structure includes four short double-helical elements and three loops (D, anti-codon, and T loops). Further hydrogen bonds mediate the characteristic L-shaped molecular structure. tRNAs have two regions of fundamental functional importance: the anti-codon, which is responsible for specific mRNA codon recognition, and the 3' end, to which the tRNAs corresponding amino acid is attached (by aminoacyl-tRNA synthetases). tRNAs cope with the degeneracy of the genetic code in two manners: having more than one tRNA (with a specific anti-codon) for a particular amino acid; and 'wobble' base-pairing, i.e. permitting non-standard base-pairing at the 3rd anti-codon position. RNAcentral also lists the same sequence under 1 other name. The record is from RNAcentral. Lineage: Bacteria; Pseudomonadati; Thermodesulfobacteriota; Desulfuromonadia; Desulfuromonadales; Desulfuromonadaceae.